RNAcentral lists this ribosomal RNA (301 nucleotides) under uncultured bacterium. Its description in RNAcentral is "partial 16S ribosomal RNA". It matches the Rfam family "Bacterial small subunit ribosomal RNA", at positions 509 to 808 of the family's 1533-position model. The record is from RNAcentral.
CAGUAGCCGCGGGAAUACGUAGGGUGCAAGCGUUAAUCGGAAUUACUGGGCGUAAAGCGUGCGCAGGCGGUUUGUUAAGACAGAUGUGAAAUCCCCGGGCUCAACCCGGGAACUGCAUUUGUGACUGGCAAGCUAGAGUGUGGCAGAGGGGGUGGAAUUCCGCGUGUAGCAGCGAAAUGCGUAGAUAUGCGGAAGAACACCGAUGGCGAAGGCAGCCCCCUGGGCCAACACUGACGCUCAUGCACGAAAGCGUGGGGAGCAAACAGGAUUAGAUACCCCUGUAGUCCCUGUCUCUUAUACA